AAAGUGGAAUUUCCUAGUGUUAGCGGGGGAAAUGCCGUAGAUAUUUUGAGGGAACCCCCCGUGGGGAAGGGGGAAUUUACUGGUUUGUUAAUUGAGGCUUGGGGUUGGAAAGCGUGGGGUAGCAAACCAGAAUUUAAAUACCCUGUAGUUCCACCCGGUAAACGAUGAGGGUUAAGGGUUAGGGGGUUUCCCGCCCCUUAGUGCUGGAGUUAAAGGCAUUAAGCAUUCGCCCUGGGAGUACGGGCCGCAAGGUGGAAACUCAAAGGAAUUGACGGGGACCCGCACAAGCGUGGGAGCAUGUGGUUUUAAUUCGACGCAACGCGAAGAACCCUACCCAGCUCUUGACAUUUUCUGUUCACCCUAGAGAUAGGGCUUCNCCCUCCGGGGGCAGAAAGACAGGUGGUGCAUGGUUGUCGUCAGCUCGUGUCGUGAGAUGUUGGGUUAAGUCCCAUAACGAGCGCAACCCUUAUUGUUAGUUGCCAGCAUUCAGUUGGGCACUCUAGCGAGACUGCCGGUGAUAAACCGGAGGAAGGUGGGGAUGACGUCAAAUCAUCAUGCCCCUUAUGACCUGGGCUACACACGUGCUACAAUGGAUGGUACAACGGGUUGCCAACCCGCGAGGGGGAGCUAAUCCUUUAAAACCAUUCCCAGUUCGGAUUGUAGGCUGCAACUCGCCUGCAUGAAGCCGGAAUCGCUAGUAAUCGUGGAUCAGCAUGCCACGGUGAAUACGUUCCCGGGUCUUGUACACACCGCCCGUCA
Molecule: ribosomal RNA, 759 nt
Filed under: uncultured bacterium
Lineage: Bacteria
Description: bacterial SSU rRNA
Rfam family: Bacterial small subunit ribosomal RNA
Source: RNAcentral